RNAcentral lists this ribosomal RNA (3324 nucleotides) under Salvelinus fontinalis (brook trout). Its description in RNAcentral is "eukaryotic LSU rRNA". It matches the Rfam family "Eukaryotic large subunit ribosomal RNA", at positions 1 to 2381 of the family's 3401-position model. The record is from RNAcentral. Lineage: Eukaryota; Metazoa; Chordata; Actinopteri; Salmoniformes; Salmonidae.
CUACGACCUCAGAUCAGACGAGACAACCCGCUGAAUUUAAGCAUAUUACUAAGCGGAGGAAAAGAAACUAACCAAGGUUUCCUCAGUAGCGGCGAGCCAAGAGGGAAGAGCCCAUCGCUGAAUCCCUGUCCGACCGGCGGGCACGGGACAUGUAGGGUAUAGAAGACCGCUUUGCCCGGGUGUCGAUCGGGGGCCUGAGUCCUUCUGAUCGAGCCUCAGCCCGGUGUACGGUGUGAGGCCGGGAACGGCCCCCGUCGCGCCGGGGUUCAGUCUUCUCGGAGUCGGGUUUGCUUGUGAAUGCAGCCCAAAGUGGGUGGUAAACUCCAUCUAAGGCUAAAUACCGGCACGAGACCGAUAGUUCGACAAGUACCGUAAGGGAAAGUUGAAAAGAACUUUGAAGAGAGAGUUCAAGAGGGCGUGAAACCCGUUGAGAGGUAAACAGGUGGGGUCCGCGCAGUCUGCCCGGGAGGAUUCAACUCGGCGGGUCAGGGUCGGUCGUUCCGGGGUGGUCGGAUCCCCUCGUGGGACGGACCCCUGGUCGGGCUCGCCCCCCCCGGGCGCAUUUCCUCCGUCGGUGGUGCGCCGCGACCUGCUCCGGGUCGGCUUGGAAGGGCUUGCGGCGAAGGUGGCUACCGGUUUCGGCCGUGAGCUUUACAGCGUCCCUGCUCCGUACUCGCCGCUUUCCGGGGCCGAGGAUUUAGUCCCCGCUGCGUCAUGUCCCCCUGCGGGGGGGCACGGGGCCCCCCGCUCCCGGCGCGACUGUCAACCGGGUCGGACUGUCCUCAGUGCGACCCAACCGCGUUGCGUCGCCAGGGCGGGGAUCGGCUCACGUAAAACUGGCGCCAGGGGUCAGUGGCGAUGUCGGCAACCCACCCGACCCGUCUUGUAACACGGACCAAGGAGUCUAACGCGCGCGCAAGUCAGAGGGUUUUCUCCGAACACGCCCCGUGGCGCAAUGAAAGUGAGGGCCCGACACGCGACCCCGUGGCGCAAUGAAAGUGAGGGCCGACGCGUUUCGGCUGAGGUGGGAUCCCGGCCCUCCGGGGCCGGGGCACCACCGGCCCGUCUCGCCCGCUCUGUCGGGGAGGUGGAGCGUGAGCGCGUGCGAUAGGACCCGAAAGAUGGUGAACUAUGCCUGGGGCAGGGCGAAGCCAGAGGAAACUCUGGUGGAGGUCCGUAGCGGUCCUGACGUGGCAAAUCGGUCGUCCGACCUGGGUAUAGGGGCGAAAGACUAAUCGCCUGACGUGCAAAUCGGUCGUCCGACCUGGGUAUAGUGCGAAAGACUAAAUCGAACCAUCUAGUAGCUGGUUCCCUCCGAAGUUUCCCUCAGGAUAGCUGGCGCUCGAAGAGUCUCGCAGUUUUAUCUGGUAAAGCGAAUGAUUAGAGGUCUUUGGGGCCGAAACGAAUCUCAACCUAUUCUCAAACUUUAAAUGGGUAAGAAGCCCGGCCGCUGGCUUGGAGCCGGGCGUGGAAUGCGGGCCGCCUAGUGGGCCCACUUUUGGUAAGCAAAACUGUGGCGCUGCGGGAUGAACCGAACGCCGGGUUAAGGCGCCCGAUGCCGACGCUCAUCAGACCCCAGAAAAGGUGUUGGUCGAUAUAGACAGCAGGACGGUGGCCAUGGAAUUCGGAAUCCGCUAAGGAGUGUGUAACAACUCACCUGCCGAAUCAACUAGCCCUGAAAAUGGAUGGCGCUGAGCGUCGGGCCCAUACCCGGCCGUCGCCGGCAAUGAGAGCCUCGAGGGCUAUGCCGCGAUGAGUAGGAGGGUCGCCGCGGUGAGCACGGAAGCCUAGGGCGCGGGCCCGGGUGGAGCCGCCGCGGGUGCAGAUCUUGGUGGUAGUAGCAAAUAUUCAACGAGAGCUUUGAAGGCCGAAGUGGAGAAGGGGUCCCAUGUGAACAGCAGUUGAACAUUGGGUCAGUCGGUCCUAAGAGAUGGGCGAACGCCGUUCGGAAGGGAGGGGCGAUGCCCUCCGUCGCCCCCGGCCGAUCGAAAGGGAGUCGGGUUCAGAUCCCCGAAUCCGGAGUGGCCGGAGAUGGGCGCCGCGAGGCGUCCAGUGCGGUAACGCGACCGAUCCCGGAGAAGCUGGCGGGAGCCCCGGGGAGNNNNNNNNUGUAAGGGAAGUCGGCAAGUCAGAUCUGAAAGGACUCGUCCGAGUGGCAGUGUACGCAAAGUGCCUCACUUGAUGGAACUUUUGUAUCUUUAUGAAAUAAUAGAAUAUCACACUGUUGGGUGAAUGUCUUCAUUUCUGGUGUGUUGUCAUGGUUGUAUUUGAGUUUAUACAGUAUCUUUGCUGUGAUUUAUAUUGGGUUGAAAUGUUGUAGUACUGUAUGCGUAUCAGUUGAUUUGUGUUUCUGGGUGGGUUUGGUAGUUGCUUAAUAAAGUUUGGACUGAGUGUCAUACAUUCGAGCCUCCUGUGGUGUCGCCACGAGAGAGGGGCCCAAGCCCUGGAAAGCGUUGCUGUUUCGGUGCUGUCCGGAGAGCUCUCCCUGGCUCUUGAAAGUUCGGGGGAGAGGGUGUAAAUCUCACGCCAGGCCAUAUUACUUUACUAUAUCCGCAGCAGGUCUCCAAUGUGAACAGCCUCUGGGAUGUUAUAACAAUGUAGGUAAGGGAAGUUGGAAAAAAGCCUCUGGCAUGUUAGAACAAUGAAUGUAAGGGAAGUCGGCACAAGUCAGAUCCCGUAACUUCGGGAUAAGGAUUGGCUCUAAAGGGCUGGGUCGGUCGGGCUGGGGUGCGAAGCGUGGCUGGGCUUCGAGCCGCGGCUGGGGGAGCAGUUGCUCCGCCGCCCCUCCCGUCGCCACCGUUGGAUGUUUGUCGUGUGGCCCAUCAGGGGGCUCUCCUUGGCGGUCUCGCAAGGGGCCGUUUGUGGGGGUUCAUUGUGGUGGUGUCCUGCGGCAGGCCUAAGGCGGACCGGCGAUGGGUUGGGAUAGGCGGAUGAAGGCGGCGACUCUGGACGCCGUGCCGGGCCCUUCUCGCGGAUCUCCCAGCUACGGUGCCGUCGGCCCCGUUUACGCGGGGUCUCCGGCGGGUUGCCCGGCCGGCGCCUAGCAGCUGACACGAACUGGUGCGGACCAGGGGAAUCGACUGUUUAAUUAAAACAAAGCAUCGCGAAGGCCCAAGGUGGGUGAUUGACGCGAUGUGAUUUCUGCCCAGUGCCUCUGAAUGUAAAAGUGAAUAAAUUCCAUGAAGCGCGGGUAAACGCGGGAGUAACUAUGACUCUCUUAAGGUAGCCAAAUGCCUCGUCAUCUAUUAGUGACGCGCAUGAAUGGAUGAACGAGAUUUUCCCACUGUCCCUACCUANNNNNNGGAGGCCUCGGCCGCCGGUGAA